Molecule: ribosomal RNA, 495 nt
Filed under: uncultured bacterium
Lineage: Bacteria
Description: partial 16S ribosomal RNA
Rfam family: Bacterial small subunit ribosomal RNA
Source: RNAcentral
AUUGAACGCUGGCGGAAUGCUUUACACAUGCAAGUCGAACGGUAGAGGGGGCAACCCCUCGAGAGUGGCGAACGGGUGAGUAAUAUAUCGGAACGUGCCCAGUCGUGGGGGAUAACGUAGCGAAAGUUACGCCAAUACCGCAUACGAUCUACGGAUGAAAGCGGGGGAUCGCAAGACCUCGCGCGAUUGGAGCGGCCGAUAUCAGAUUAGGUAGUUGGUGGGGUAAAGGCUCACCAAGCCAACGAUCUGUAGCUGGUCUGAGAGGACGACCAGCCACACUGAACUGAGACACGGGCCAGACUCCUACGGGAGGCAGCAGUGGGGAAUUUUGGACAAUGGACGCAAGUCUGAUCCAGCCAUUCCGCGUGCAGGAUGAAGGCCCUCGGGUUGUAAACUGCUUUUGUACGGAACGAAAAGGUUUCCAUUAAUACUGGGAGCUCAUGACGGUACCGUAAGAAUAAGCAUCGGCUAACUACGUGCCAGCAGCCGCGGUAA